GAAGGGGGCUAGCGUUGCUCGGAAUCACUGGGCGUAAAGGGUGCGUAGGCGGGUCUUUAAGCCAGGGGUGAAAUCCUGGAGCUCAACUCCAGAACUGCCUUUGAUACUGAAGAUCUUGAGUUCGGGAGAGGUGAGUGGAACUGCGAGUGUAGAGGUGAAAUUCGUAGAUAUUCGCAAGAACACCAGUGGCGAAGGCGGCUCACUGGCCCGAUACUGACGCUGAGGCACGAAAGCGUGGGGGAGCAAACAGGAUUAGAUACCCUGGUAGUCCACGCCGUAAACGAUGAAUGCCCAGCCGUUAGUGGGUUUACUCACUAGUGGCGCAGCUAACGCUUUAAGCAUUCCGCCUGGGAGUACGGUCGCAAGAUUA
This 370-nucleotide ribosomal RNA is filed under the name uncultured organism. RNAcentral's name for it is "partial 16S ribosomal RNA". It matches the Rfam family "Bacterial small subunit ribosomal RNA", at positions 527 to 896 of the family's 1533-position model. The record is from RNAcentral.